This 1080-nucleotide ribosomal RNA is filed under the name Chrysops carbonarius. RNAcentral describes it as "eukaryotic LSU rRNA". It matches the Rfam family "Eukaryotic large subunit ribosomal RNA", at positions 943 to 1853 of the family's 3401-position model. Lineage: Eukaryota; Metazoa; Arthropoda; Insecta; Diptera; Tabanidae. The record is from RNAcentral.
UCUAGUAGCUGGUUCCCUCCGAAGUUUCCCUCAGGAUAGCUGGUGCAAUUAAAAAUUAUAUUAAAUAAUCUUAUCUGGUAAAGCGAAUGAUUAGAGGCCUUAGGGCCGAAACGACCUUAACCUAUUCUCAAACUUUAAAUGGGUAAGAACCUUGCCUUACUUGAUAUGAAGGUACAGGUUAUGAUAUAUUGUGCCCAGUGGGCCACUUUUGGUAAGCAGAACUGGCGCUGUGGGAUGAACCAAACGUGAUGUUACGGCGCCAAAAUUAACAACUCAUACUGAUACCAUGAAAGGCGUUGCUUGCUUAAAACAGCAGGACGGUGGACAUGGAAGUCGUAAUCCGCUAAGGAGUGUGUAACAACUCACCUGCCGAAGCAACUAGCCCUUAAAAUGGAUGGCGCUUAAGUUGUAUGCCUAUACAUCACCGCUAAAACAUAUGAUUUAUUAUAUACUAAUAAAUUUUAAAGUUUUAGUGAGUAGGAGGGUACAAUGAUGUGCAUAGAAGUGUUUGGCGUAAGCCUACAUGGAGCCGUCAUUGGUACAGAUCUUGGUGGUAGUAGCAAAUAAUCGAAUGAGACCUUGGAGGACUGAAGUGGAGAAGGGCUUCGUGUGAACAGUGGUUGAUCACGAGUUAGUCGGUCCUAAGUUCAUGGUGAAAACCAAAAAAUAUAUGUUAUUAAAAAUAAAAUUAUCAAAUUGAAAUGAAAAUAGUAUAUAUAAUAAUAUAUUAUAUAUAUAUAAAAAAAAAUUCCAUAAAUAAUAUAUAAUAAAUAAUACAUAUAGUAUGAACGAAAGGGAAUACGGUUCCAAUUCCGUAACCUGUUAAGUAUACGUUUGUUAUUAAAAAUGGGCUUUUAUGCUCAUCCUGGCAACAGAAACAAUCAUAAAGAAACCGUCGAGAGGUAUCGGAAGAGUUUUCUUUUCUGUUUUAUAGUUGUAUCACCAUGGAAGUCUUUCGAAGAGAGAUAUGGUGAAUGAACUAGAAGAGCAUAGCAUAUACUGCUGUGUCGAUAUUUUCUCCUCGGGCCUUGAAAAUUUAUGGUAGGGUUACGCAAACUUCUUAACAGGCCGUACCAAUAU